Long non-coding RNA from Scomber japonicus (chub mackerel), 1705 nucleotides. RefSeq lists it as uncharacterized. The record is from RefSeq and is a predicted model, not a curated record. NCBI's taxonomy places the organism in Eukaryota, Metazoa, Chordata, Actinopteri, Scombriformes, Scombridae. The transcript is spliced from 6 exons.
ACGAACAGGCACGUAACCGCUUGGAGACCGUCUGGAGUGUGUCUGAAAUUGAUAAAAUUGGAGAUGGAGUUUUUUUUCACACCUCUUUGCUCAUUUACAAGGAAGCCGACUGUUGGAAACGGGAAUUUCCUCUCUCCACCCGAAACGCCUUCGCCCAUGAGUCGCUACGCUCGGCCAAAAAUAAUUUGUAGAUAAACGCUGUGAAAGUUUUUUUCUUCUGCAGUCUAUCAGCAGACAGCUCUUUAUGCACAGGGGACCAGCCUUCAGAGUUCAAGAGGAGUGCACCAUCCAGAAGGCAGUCUGAACCAGCUGAGAAAGGCCUGUCCCAAACCUGAUCCAGUGUCUGACAAAAAUGAUUGGAAUUGCAAUUAGAAAGGAAAUCUGUGUUUUCAUGCAGCCUGUCAUGCCUGUCAUGCCUUCAUGCCUUCAUGCCUUCGACGCUGGAGUGUGUUCACCCAAAUAUGUAGAGAGCUGGUGCUGGACGAGGAGGAAGAUGUCAUACUAAGGAUGGGUUUUGGUGAUGAUGUUGAUGCAGCAUCGAGCUCUCACUUUGUGCCUCUGUCAGCUAUGAUGCGUAACCACAGAGUGAGUGACAGGCCACUCCCCGGGGAGAGCAGGGGGCCUGAGGUGAGUCAGAUGUAUCCUUGACCCUGUCUAGCAGUGUGUCAGCAAACAACACAAACUCUGUAAAGAAGGCCAGAAAUGGCAUGACUGUAUAUUGUACAUCUUCAUUUAGUAUGUAGAAGAAGACUGUAGGAAUCACAACACAACCACCUUGACAGUUUGUGUUUAAGUGAUUUGGUUUUCAUUGCAUAUACUCCCUCAAUUUAUGAAUAAUGAAAUGAUAAUGCAGCAUAUUACAUUACAGCUGAUACCUUUGCUCGCAUCUGUAUUUCCAACAGAGUCUUUGCUUUGUGAUAUUGUUAAGAGUCUGUCUAAAACAUUAACUGGAUUUUGGUUUAUAUUCAAUGAAAAAUGUUUACUUCAGUGAAAUACAGAUCAAGCAAAAAUGCUCAAUGUCAGAACUUUUAAAAAAAGAUGCAGUAAAGUUUUACGUCUGUGUCAGCCUGUGGAGUCAGGACUUUUUAGCUCAGAUUUUGCUUAUAUUUUAAAAUGCAAAGCUGUCAAAGUGGUGCAGAAAGAGACGAACCAACAAUAUUUAAUAACUGAAAAUUCCAAGCUUGGAUUUAAGAAAAGCUUUAUUAGGACACCUACUGUACAUGAAGAAUAAUCAGUGUUUAGUGUAACAAUAACUGAAGGUAAUCUAACUUCACAGAUAAUGUAAUAUGUCAUUAGAUUUGCUUGAUAAACUGAUCAGUGCUAAAUCAAACUUUCAUCCAACCCAAAUGAUGAAGAAAUGUGUGGAGAAACUGUGAAUUGCAGCUUAACAUCAGUCUGACUUACGCAUUACUUGGCUUAUUUUGAUUUGCUUUAAAGCCCAUACGACAUGGAAAUUAAGACGCAAAGACGUCCUGCAUAUUGCUCAAACUAUAGUCUGAAUACUGGUACUAUCAUUAUGAAACAAGUGGUUGAUUAAUCAGUUGUCUAGUCAGUCAACAUAAAUGAACAUAACAUGAACAACAAUUCUAAUAAUUAGUGAAUGGUUUAAGUCAUUUAGCAAGUGAAAAUGCCAAAUGGUUCCUGUUUUCAGCUUCUGAACUGAGGAUUUUCAGUUUUUCUUUGUUUUACAUCAUGGAAACACUAU